GACGAACGCUGGCGGCGUGCCUAAUACAUGCAAGUAGAACGCUGAAGCGAGGAGCUUGCUCUUCUUGGAUGAGUUGCGAACGGGUGAGUAACGCGUAGGUAACCUGCCUUGUAGCGGGGGAUAACUAUUGGAAACGAUAGCUAAUACCGCAUAACAAUGGAUGACCCAUGUCAUUUAUUUGAAAGGGGCAAAUGCUCCACUACAAGAUGGACCUGCGUUGUAUUAGCUAGGAGGUGAGGUAACGGCUCACCUAGGGGACGAUACAUAGCCGACCUGAGAGGGUGAUCUGCCACACUGGGACGGAGACACGGCCCAGACUCCUACGGGAGGCAGCAGUAGGGAAUCUUCGGCAAUGGGGGCAAACCUGACCGAGAAACGCCGCGUGAGUGAAGAAGGUUUUCGGAUCGUAAAGCUCGGUUGUAAGUCAAGAACGAGUGUGAGAGUGGAAAGUUCACACUGUGACGGUAGCUGACCAGAAAGGGACGGCUAACUACGUG
Molecule: ribosomal RNA, 497 nt
Filed under: uncultured bacterium
Lineage: Bacteria
Description: partial 16S ribosomal RNA
Rfam family: Bacterial small subunit ribosomal RNA
Source: RNAcentral